UGUUGCUCAGUGGUAGAGUGCUUGCCUAGCAUGCAUGAGGGCCUGGGUUCAAUCUCCAGCA
This 61-nucleotide transfer RNA is filed under the name Urocitellus parryii (Arctic ground squirrel). Its description in RNAcentral is "Spermophilus parryii (Arctic ground squirrel) tRNA". It matches the Rfam family "tRNA", at positions 6 to 65 of the family's 71-position model. From Rfam's summary of the family: Transfer RNA (tRNA) molecules are approximately 80 nucleotides in length. Their secondary structure includes four short double-helical elements and three loops (D, anti-codon, and T loops). Lineage: Eukaryota; Metazoa; Chordata; Mammalia; Rodentia; Sciuridae. RNAcentral also lists the same sequence under 2 other names. The record is from Rfam by way of RNAcentral.